GUGAGGAAUAUUGGACAAUGGGCGCAAGCCUGAUCCAGCCAUGCCGCGUGCAGGAAGACGCAUCUAUGGUGUGUAAACUGCUUUUGUACGGGAAGAAACACUCCCUCGUGAGGGAGCUUGACGGUACCGUAAGAAUAAGGAUCGGCUAACUCCGUGCCAGCAGCCGCGGUAAUACGGAGGAUCCAAGCGUUAUCCGGAAUCAUUGGGUUUAAAGGGUCCGUAGGCGGUUUAAUAAGUCAGUGGUGAAAGCCCAUCGCUCAACGAUGGAACGGCCAUUGAUACUGUUAGACUUGAAUUACAAGGAAGUAACUAGAAUAUGUAGUGUAGCGGUGAAAUUCUUAGAUAUUACAUGGAAUACCAAUUGCGAAGGCAGGUUACUACUUGUGGAUUGACGCUGAUGGACGAAAGCGUGGGGAGCGAACAGGAUUAGAAACCCUUGUAGUCC
RNAcentral lists this ribosomal RNA (445 nucleotides) under uncultured bacterium. RNAcentral's name for it is "partial 16S ribosomal RNA". It matches the Rfam family "Bacterial small subunit ribosomal RNA", at positions 354 to 796 of the family's 1533-position model. The record is from RNAcentral.